RNAcentral lists this antisense RNA (75 nucleotides) under Couchioplanes caeruleus subsp. caeruleus. RNAcentral's name for it is "ASpks TB sRNA". It matches the Rfam family "ASpks TB sRNA". Lineage: Bacteria; Bacillati; Actinomycetota; Actinomycetes; Micromonosporales; Micromonosporaceae. The record is from Rfam by way of RNAcentral.
CUUGACCGAGCCGAGCAGCAGCGGUCGCUGCGGGUCACGGUCUCGACCGUACGUGGCCUGCAGCGCCUGCACCUC